RNAcentral lists this transfer RNA (64 nucleotides) under Legionellales bacterium. Its description in RNAcentral is "tRNA-OTHER". It matches the Rfam family "tRNA", at positions 25 to 71 of the family's 71-position model. Rfam says of the family: Transfer RNA (tRNA) molecules are approximately 80 nucleotides in length. Lineage: Bacteria; Pseudomonadati; Pseudomonadota; Gammaproteobacteria; Legionellales. The record is from RNAcentral.
GCUCCCCUGCUAAGGGAGUAUGGGAGAAAUCCCAUCGAGGGUUCGAAUCCCUCUCUCUCCGCCA